This 468-nucleotide ribosomal RNA is filed under the name uncultured bacterium. Its description in RNAcentral is "partial 16S ribosomal RNA". It matches the Rfam family "Bacterial small subunit ribosomal RNA", at positions 28 to 507 of the family's 1533-position model. The record is from RNAcentral.
GACGAACGCUGGCGGCGUGCUUAACACAUGCAAGUCGAACGGAAAGGCCCUGCUUUUGUGGGGUGCUCGAGUGGCGAACGGGUGAGUAACACGUGAGUAACCUGCCCUUGACUUUGGGAUAACUUCAGGAAACUGGGGCUAAUACCGGAUAGGAGCUCCUGCUGCAUGGUGGGGGUUGGAAAGGUUCGGCGGUUGGGGAUGGACUCGCGGCUUAUCAGCUUGUUGGUGGGGUAGUGGCAUACCAAGGCUUUGACGGGUAGCCGGCCUGAGGGGGUGACCGGCCACAUUGGGACUGAGAUACGGCCCAGACUCCUACGGGAGGCAGCAGUGGGGAAUAUUGCACAAUGGGCGGAAGCCUGAUGCAGCAACGCCGCGUGCGGGAUGACGGCCUUCGGGUUGUAAACCGCUUUCGCCUGUGACGAAGCGUGAGUGACGGUAAUGGGUAAAGAAGCACCGGCUAACUACGUG